This 584-nucleotide ribosomal RNA is filed under the name uncultured bacterium. Its description in RNAcentral is "partial 16S ribosomal RNA". It matches the Rfam family "Bacterial small subunit ribosomal RNA", at positions 355 to 937 of the family's 1533-position model. The record is from RNAcentral.
UGGGGAAUUUUGGACAAUGGGCGAAAGCCUGAUCCAGCAAUGCCGCGUGUGUGAAGAAGGCCUUCGGGUUGUAAAGCACUUUUGUCCGGAAAGAAAUCCUUGGCUCUAAUACAGUCGGGGGAUGACGGUACCGGAAGAAUAAGCACCGGCUAACUACGUGCCAGCAGCCGCGGUAAUACGUAGGGUGCAAGCGUUAAUCGGAAUUACUGGGCGUAAAGCGUGCGCAGGCGGUUUGCUAAGACCGAUGUGAAAUCCCCGGGCUCAACCUGGGAACUGCAUUGGUGACUGGCAGGCUAGAGUAUGGCAGAGGGGGGUAGAAUUCCACGUGUAGCAGUGAAAUGCAUAGAGAUGUGGAGGAAUACCGAUGGCGAAGGCAGCCCCCUGGGCCAAUACUGACGCUCAUGCACGAAAGCGUGGGGAGCAAACAGGAUUAGAUACCCUGGUAGUCCACGCCCUAAACGAUGUCAACUAGUUGUUGGGGAUUCAUUUCCUUAGUAACGUAGCUAACGCGUGAAGUUGACCGCCUGGGGAGUACGGUCGCAAGAUUAAAACUCAAAUGAAUUGACGGGGUCAUAGCUGUUUCC